CUUCUUCUCAGCAUUCAACCAAAACUCACUGAAUUUGAGCCCCAAACUGAAGAAUUCCCUACAUGCAACACCAACCAAACACAAAUCCCAGCAAUCUCAGCUUCUUAUGAUCAGCAAUUCAAACCCAAAAGUCAACAAAUCAAACAACCAUGAAAACCCCACCACAAAUCCACUAGAGCCUCAAUUGAAGCUUUUGAUCCGGUCCAAAAAAACAAAACUUUAGAGGUGAAUCGAAUCUGGGAACCCAAAACAAUGAACACUGGGCACAGAAUUGAGUGAGAAAAGAGUGGGUUUAGUGGUAAUUUAGAGGGACAAUGGGAAUGAUAGAGAAAGAAAAACCGCAAUUGUUAUAGGGGCAGGGUUAAAGAGAAAUUGGCAUUGUGGUGUUGGAUCUCAAAAGAGAUUCUUUGUGGGUUUUUUAUUUUUCUUUUUUUCUUUUCUUAAGCGAUGAGAAUCUGACGAUUUAACAACAGAAAC
This 477-nucleotide unclassified non-coding RNA is filed under the name Hevea brasiliensis (rubber tree). Lineage: Eukaryota; Viridiplantae; Streptophyta; Magnoliopsida; Malpighiales; Euphorbiaceae. The record is from RNAcentral.